AACGAACGCUGGCGGCGCGCCUAAUACAUGCAAGUCGAGCGAGAAGGUGUAGCAAUACACUUGUAAAGCGGCGAACGGGUGAGGAAUACAUGGGUAAUCUACCAUCGAGUGGGGAAUAACCAGCCGAAAGGCUGGCUAAUACCGCGUACGCUUCCGGGUCUUCGGAUUCGGAAGGAAAGCCAUGCCGUGGGUAUGGCGCUCCUUGAUGAGCUCAUGUCCUAUCAGCUUGUUGGUAGGGUAACGGCCUACCAAGGCUUUGACGGGUAGCUGGUCUGAGAGGACGAUCAGCCACACUGGCACUGCGACACGGGCCAGACUCCUACGGGAGGCAGCAGUAAGGAAUAUUGCGCAAUGGGCGACAGCCUGACGCAGCGACGCCGCGUGGGGGAUGAAGGUCUUCGGAUUGUAAACCCCUUUCGGGAGGGAAGAUGGGGCGGGAAACCG
This 444-nucleotide ribosomal RNA is filed under the name uncultured Nitrospira sp. Its description in RNAcentral is "bacterial SSU rRNA". It matches the Rfam family "Bacterial small subunit ribosomal RNA", at positions 29 to 463 of the family's 1533-position model. The record is from RNAcentral. Lineage: Bacteria; Pseudomonadati; Nitrospirota; Nitrospiria; Nitrospirales; Nitrospiraceae.